Molecule: long non-coding RNA, 454 nt
Filed under: Chinchilla lanigera (long-tailed chinchilla)
Lineage: Eukaryota; Metazoa; Chordata; Mammalia; Rodentia; Chinchillidae
Description: lncRNA (ENSCLAG00000022304.1)
Source: RNAcentral
GAUUCUUAUAUUCUUUCAUAGUAAUACAGUAUUUAUUGUCCACAAUUUUACUUUUACAAAAUGAUAAUGCAGAGAGCAUGGCACAUUGGAAUUACUGGAACAUUCAAGUCCUUGGAAGCUAUGAAACUGAAGGCCUGAGUUUCUCCCUGACUAUCAGCCAGAAGCUCCACAGUUCCUUUACACAUAGGCCUCUCCUUUGGGAAAAUAACAUGGUGACUGGCUUCCAUCAGAGUCCAGAAGAGGACAACAGAGGGUAAGCAAGAAAGAACAAGUAAGACAGAAGGCAGAAUCUUCUAGGAAACUACUUCAGUAGUAACAUUCACCACUUCUCCAUUUCUUUAUCAGUUGAAAGUUACCAAGUCCAGCACAUACUCAGGGGGACGAGAUUACUCAAGAACAUAGGACUGGAAGGCAAGUCCAUGAGCUGUCUGCCACCCUUAGCGCUGCAGGCUGA